UUAAAAAUCAGCGAAGUCUACUUCACAGACUUCAGCUUUAUUAUUCAGUUUGUUAUUUGAACAAAGUUUUAAAAAGUUCCCGAGAUGAAGAUGCAGUGUAAACCAAAGUGUAAACAUCUGUUACAGUAGAAGAGAGCAGGAGCUGGCUACAGUGCAAGGUUAUGGGCUUAUUCCAUGGAGCGGUUUACGUAAACAAAUGAGAUCUUGAAAGGCAUUAAGUUGCUGAAGUUGUAUGCCUAGGAGAGUAUAUUCUGCACCAGUGUGGAGGAAACUAGGAUGAAGGAACUGACCAGUCUGAAGACAUCCGCACUGCACACUUCCCUCUCCGGUGUUCUGAAGCUGAACAAAUUAUUCACAAGUAACCAGAUCUGGGAUGACACCAUGAGGAAUGGAGAUUCCCCCUGCUUGUUAGAUGCCUGCAAGAAACAUCCUGGAAUUGUAUGUGUCAUAAUAGAUUUAUAU
Pseudophryne corroboree (corroboree frog) is the source of this 462-nucleotide long non-coding RNA. RefSeq lists it as uncharacterized. The transcript is spliced from 3 exons. The record is from RefSeq and is a predicted model, not a curated record. NCBI's taxonomy places the organism in Eukaryota, Metazoa, Chordata, Amphibia, Anura, Myobatrachidae.